AGUGAACGCUGGCGGUAGGCCUAACACAUGCAAGUCGAACGGCAGCACAGUAAGAGCUUGCUCUUACGGGUGGCGAGUGGCGGACGGGUGAGGAAUACAUCGGAAUCUACUUUUUCGUGGGGGAUAACGUAGGGAAACUUACGCUAAUACCGCAUACGACCUACGGGUGAAAUCAGGGGAUCUUCGGACCUUGCCCGAUUGAAUGAGCCGAUGUCGGAUUAGCUAGUUGGGAGGGUAAAGGCCCACCAAGGCGACGAUCCGUAGCUGGUCUGAGAGGAUGAUCAGCCACACUGGAACUGAGACACGGUCCAGACUCCUACGGGAGGCAGCAGUGGGGAAUAUUGGACAAUGGGCGCAAGCCUGAUCCAGCCAUACCGCGUGGGUGAAGAAGGCCUUCGGGUUGUAAAGCCCUUUUGUUGGGAAAGAAAAGCAGCAGGUUAAUACCCCGCUGUUCUGACGGUACCCAAAGAAUAAGCACCGGCUAACUUCGUG
This 492-nucleotide ribosomal RNA is filed under the name uncultured bacterium. RNAcentral describes it as "partial 16S ribosomal RNA". It matches the Rfam family "Bacterial small subunit ribosomal RNA", at positions 29 to 507 of the family's 1533-position model. The record is from RNAcentral.